This 1970-nucleotide ribosomal RNA is filed under the name Escherichia coli. Its description in RNAcentral is "partial 23S ribosomal RNA". It matches the Rfam family "Bacterial large subunit ribosomal RNA", at positions 968 to 2915 of the family's 2925-position model. The record is from RNAcentral. Lineage: Bacteria; Pseudomonadati; Pseudomonadota; Gammaproteobacteria; Enterobacterales; Enterobacteriaceae.
AAUGUUAUCACGGGAGACACACGGCGGGUGCUAACGUCCGUCGUGAAGAGGGAAACAACCCAGACCGCCAGCUAAGGUCCCAAAGUCAUGGUUAAGUGGGAAACGAUGUGGGAAGGCCCAGACAGCCAGGAUGUUGGCUUAGAAGCAGCCAUCAUUUAAAGAAAGCGUAAUAGCUCACUGGUCGAGUCGGCCUGCGCGGAAGAUGUAACGGGGCUAAACCAUGCACCGAAGCUGCGGCAGCGACGCUUAUGCGUUGUUGGGUAGGGGAGCGUUCUGUAAGCCUGUGAAGGUGGCCUGUGAGGGUUGCUGGAGGUAUCAGAAGUGCGAAUGCUGACAUAAGUAACGAUAAAGCGGGUGAAAAGCCCGCUCGCCGGAAGACCAAGGGUUCCUGUCCAACGUUAAUCGGGGCAGGGUGAGUCGACCCCUAAGGCGAGGCCGAAAGGCGUAGUCGAUGGGAAACAGGUUAAUAUUCCUGUACUUGGUGUUACUGCGAAGGGGGGACGGAGAAGGCUAUGUUGGCCGGGCGACGGUUGUCCCGGUUUAAGCGUGUAGGCUGGUUUUCCAGGCAAAUCCGGAAAACCAAGGCUGAGGCGUGAUGACGAGGCACUACGGUGCUGAAGCGACAAAUGCCCUGCUUCCAGGAAAAGCCUCUAAGCAUCAGGUAACAUUAAAUCGUACCCCAAACCGACACAGGUGGUCAGGUAGAGAAUACCAAGGCGCUUGAGAGAACUCGGGUGAAGGAACUAGGCAAAAUGGUGCCGUAACUUCGGGAGAAGGCACGCUGAUAUGUAGGUGAAGCGACUUGCUCGUGGAGCUGAAAUCAGUCGAAGAUACCAGCUGGCUGCAACUGUUUAUUAAAAACACAGCACUGUGCAAACACGAAAGUGGACGUAUACGGUGUGACGCCUGCCCGGUGCCGGAAGGUUAAUUGAUGGGGUUAGCGGUAACGCGAAGCUCUUGAUCGAAGCCCCGGUAAACGGCGGCCGUAACUAUAACGGUCCUAAGGUAGCGAAAUUCCUUGUCGGGUAAGUUCCGACCUGCACGAAUGGCGUAAUGAUGGCCAGGCUGUCUCCACCCGAGACUCAGUGAAAUUGAACUCGCUGUGAAGAUGCAGUGUACCCGCGGCAAGACGGAAAGACCCCGUGAACCUUUACUAUAGCUUGACACUGAACAUUGAGCCUUGAUGUGUAGGAUAGGUGGGAGGCUUUGAAGUGUGGACGCCAGUCUGCAUGGAGCCGACCUUGAAAUACCACCCUUUAAUGUUUGAUGUUCUAACGUGGGCCCCUUACCGGGGUUGCGGACAGUGUCUGGUGGGUAGUUUGACUGGGGCGGUCUCCUCCUAAAGAGUAACGGAGGAGCACGAAGGUUGGCUAAUCCUGGUCGGACAUCAGGAGGUUAGUGCAAUGGCAUAAGCCAGCUUGACUGCGAGCGUGACGGCGCGAGCAGGUGCGAAAGCAGGUCAUAGUGAUCCGGUGGUUCUGAAUGGAAGGGCCAUCGCUCAACGGAUAAAAGGUACUCCGGGGAUAACAGGCUGAUACCGCCCAAGAGUUCAUAUCGACGGCGGUGUUUGGCACCUCGAUGUCGGCUCAUCACAUCCUGGGGCUGAAGUAGGUCCCAAGGGUAUGGCUGUUCGCCAUUUAAAGUGGUACGCGAGCUGGGUUUAGAACGUCGUGAGACAGUUCGGUCCCUAUCUGCCGUGGGCGCUGGAGAACUGAGGGGGGCUGCUCCUAGUACGAGAGGACCGGAGUGGACGCAUCACUGGUGUUCGGGUUGUCAUGCCAAUGGCACUGCCCGGUAGCUAAAUGCGGAAGAGAUAAGUGCUGAAAGCAUCUAAGCACGAAACUUGCCCCGAGAUGAGUUCUCCCUGACUCCUUGAGAGUCCUGAAGGAACGUUGAAGACGACGACGUUGAUAGGCCGGGUGUGUAAGCGCAGCGAUGCGUUGAGCUAACCGGUACUAAUGAACCGUGAG